Molecule: ribosomal RNA, 460 nt
Filed under: uncultured bacterium
Lineage: Bacteria
Description: partial 16S ribosomal RNA
Rfam family: Bacterial small subunit ribosomal RNA
Source: RNAcentral
CCUACGGGGUGCAGCAGUGAGGAAUAUUGGUCAAUGGCCGGAAGGCUGAACCAGCCAUGCCGCGUGAAGGUCAGUGCCCUAUGGGCGUUAAACUUCUUUUGUGCGGGAGCAAUAAUGGUCACGUGUGGCCAGACGAGAGUACCGUACGAAUAAGCAUCGGCUAACUCCGUGCCAGCAGCCGCGGUAAUACGGGGGAUGCAAGCGUUAUCCGGGUUUAUUGGGUUUAAAGGGUGCGUAGGCUGGGAGGUAAGUCAGCGGUGAAAUGCCCCCGCUCAACGGGGUGAAGUGCCAUUGAUACUGCCUGGCUGGAGUGCGGAUGCGGUGGGAGGAAUGUGUGGUGUAGCGGUGAAAUGCAUAGAUAUCACACAGAACACCGAUUGCGAAGGCAUCUCACGAAUCCGCGAUUGACGCUGAUGCACGAAAGCGUGGGUAUCAAACAGGAUUAGAUACCCGGGUAGUC